UGCCUACGGGGCGCAGCAGUGAGGAAUAUUGGUCAAUGGGCGGGAGCCUGAACCAGCCAAGUCGCGUGAGGGAAGACGGUCCUAUGGAUUGUAAACCUCUUUUGUCGGGGAGCAAAGAGGCCACGUGUGGUCAAAAGCGAGAGUACCCGAAGAAAAAGCAUCGGCUAACUCCGUGCCAGCAGCCGCGGUAAUACGGAGGAUGCGAGCGUUAUCCGGAUUUAUUGGGUUUAAAGGGUGCGCAGGCGGAAGAUCAAGUCAGCGGUAAAAUUGAGAGGCUCAACCUCUUCGAGCCGUUGAAACUGGUU
Molecule: ribosomal RNA, 305 nt
Filed under: uncultured bacterium
Lineage: Bacteria
Description: bacterial SSU rRNA
Rfam family: Bacterial small subunit ribosomal RNA
Source: RNAcentral